UGAACGCUGGCGGCGUAGCUUAACACAUGCAAGUCGAACGGAGUUUUAACGGAAGUUUCGGAUGGAAGUUAGAACUAGUGGCGGACGGGUGAGUAACGCGUGGUAACCUGCCUCAUACAGGGGGAUAACAGUUAGAAUGACUGCUAACACCGCAUAAUAUAGCGAAACCGCAUGAUUUUGCUAUCAAAUAGUUUAUAGGUAUGAGAUGGGCCCGCGUCUGAUUAGCUAGUUGGUGGGGUAAAGCCUACCAAGGCGACGAUCAGUCGCCGGCUUGAGAGAGUGACCGGCCACAUUGGGACUGAGACACGGCCCAAACUCCUACGGGAGGCAGCAGUGGGGAAUAUUGGACAAUGGGGGAAACCCUGAUCCAGCGACGCCCGCGUGAGUGAAGAAGUAUUUCGGUAUGUAAAGCUCUAUCAGCAGGGAAGAUAAUGACAGUACCUGACUAAGAAGCCCCGGCUAACUACGUGCCAGCAGCUGC
RNAcentral lists this ribosomal RNA (481 nucleotides) under uncultured bacterium. RNAcentral's name for it is "bacterial SSU rRNA". It matches the Rfam family "Bacterial small subunit ribosomal RNA", at positions 30 to 518 of the family's 1533-position model. The record is from RNAcentral.